ACACCUCAACUCUCAUGGUUUUUCCGUGACGAGCUUGGACUUUGGGGGUCUUGCUGGCCUGUAGUCAGCUCCUCUUAAAUGAAUCAGCUUGCCAGUGUUUGGUGGCAUCGCAGGUGUGAUAACUAUCUACGCUUGUGGUUUUCCAUCAGGUAACCUUCAGUGAUGGAGGUUCGCUGGAGCUCAUAAAGGUCUCUCCUCGGUGAGGAGGGGGCUUCUUUUGAAU
This 223-nucleotide unclassified non-coding RNA is filed under the name uncultured Tomentella. RNAcentral describes it as "sequence contains ITS2". The record is from RNAcentral. Lineage: Eukaryota; Fungi; Basidiomycota; Agaricomycetes; Thelephorales; Thelephoraceae.